AUACGGAGGGGGCAAGCGUUGUUCGGAAUUACUGGGCGUAAAGGGCGCGUAGGCGGAUUGUCAAGUCAGAGGUGAAAGCCCUGGGCUCAACCUGGGAACUGCCUUUGAAACUAACAGUCUAGAGUCCGAGAGAGGAUGGCGGAAUUCCCAGUGUAGAGGUGAAAUUCGUAGAUAUUGGGAAGAACACCAGUGGCGAAGGCGGCCAUCUGGCUCGGUACUGACGCUGAGGCGCGAAAGCGUGGGGAGCAAACAGGAUUAGAUACCCCAGUAGUCC
Molecule: ribosomal RNA, 274 nt
Filed under: uncultured bacterium
Lineage: Bacteria
Description: partial 16S ribosomal RNA
Rfam family: Bacterial small subunit ribosomal RNA
Source: RNAcentral